RNAcentral lists this ribosomal RNA (253 nucleotides) under uncultured bacterium. RNAcentral describes it as "partial 16S ribosomal RNA". It matches the Rfam family "Bacterial small subunit ribosomal RNA", at positions 524 to 776 of the family's 1533-position model. The record is from RNAcentral.
UACGUAUGGAGCAAGCGUUAUCCGGAUUUACUGGGUGUAAAGGGAGCGCAGGCGGUCUGGCAAGUCUGGUGUGAAAGGCCGGGGCUCAACCCCGGGACUGCAUUGGAAACUGUCAGACUGGAGUGUCGGAGAGGCAAGCGGAAUUCCUAGUGUAGCGGUGAAAUGCGUAGAUAUUAGGAGGAACACCAGUGGCGAAGGCGGCUUGCUGGACGAUGACUGACGCUGAGGCUCGAAAGCGUGGGGAGCAAACAGG